Molecule: long non-coding RNA, 801 nt
Filed under: Malus domestica (apple)
Lineage: Eukaryota; Viridiplantae; Streptophyta; Magnoliopsida; Rosales; Rosaceae
Description: long non-coding RNA (MDOM_LNC014169)
Source: RNAcentral
GUGACUAGCGACCUUUACUACUUACGAAUAUAAAUUCAUAACGAUUAGGUGAAACAAACUUAUAUCCUAGAAUCAAAUUCAAGUAUGCAAAUUAAGCGUGCACUCUCAACCAACAUACAAGAAUAAGUUCUAAAUCAAACGGUUAAGCAAAUUGUAUUCACGACUCAUGCAACAAUAACCGAGAGUAAUCAAUUUAUUUCACAUAUAUAAUCAUGGUUUUGAAUCCACCCUUAGCCAAAACGAAUUUAGCUAAUCAUACUUAAAGCAAAACAAAGAUUACAUGAAUUAGACAUUGAAAUAUAAGAUAGAAAACACCUAAAAUCGUUCAACAACUCAGAAUGAAUAGCCAAACAAUCGUAGUGAAUUUGUCCCCUUCUUUGCUUGCGGCAGAUUGGGUUGUGAAGAUGUUUUGGGUAGUUUUAUGGUGUAGAAUGGAUGGGGAAUGGUAUGGAGAGGUUUAGGGUGAGUAUGGAGGAGUGUUUGAUGGUUGAAGGAUGGUAGAGAACUCGGCAAAGAGGGUGGAAUAAGGUGGAGUGGCUGUUAUGUUUUCUGGGCACUAGAAUGGUGUUUUUGGGUGUUUUGCUGCCUAGGGUGAGUAUGGACGAAUUUUCUGCAUGAAUGAUGAAUAUAGGAGGUUGAACCCUUUUCCAAGGGUUGUAAACAUGUAUAUAUAGGCCCCAAAAACCCUAGAGAAUCAGAUUAGGCAGUGGGGGAAAUGCACAGCAAGAAGGGUGAAUUUGUGGUGUGCAAUGGUCCAAGGAUGAAAAUGGAGCAAUGAUGCAAAGUAUGGAGGGUAAAAUG